Molecule: long non-coding RNA, 882 nt
Organism: Spodoptera frugiperda (fall armyworm)
Lineage: Eukaryota; Metazoa; Arthropoda; Insecta; Lepidoptera; Noctuidae
Exons: 2
Source: RefSeq, a predicted model, not a curated record
CUACCAACCAGACGUACAAGCUUAGGCCGCAGAACUCGAAAUACGGCAAGUCAAAGCAAUAUAAGAGCAAAUCAAACUGAUGAGCAACGCGAAGCGCGAAAUGAACUUGAACUGAAUCGAUAUCAAGAUAGAAAUGUUGUGUUUAAUCCCCACAAAGCUGCAUUCAGUUAUAAUGUGGCAAUUGAUUACAGUUCAGAGCAAAUUGUUGCUAUUGGACUAAUGAACAUUGUGUGUCCACAUUGGGAUUGAAAUUCAAAAAUGAAGCCUCUGGAUUGUGUUACGCCAGCGGCCAAGUCAAAUUGACGCCAUUGGUACCGCCACCAGAGCCACUACAUUCAUUGGUUAAUUUUUUGACUCAUAUCUAGCAGUACAAUAAUUGCUUUCAAAUGACAUCAUUUGGGGCAACAAAAGUUAUACGAGGCAAUUUUAUGCCUACUUUUAGUAAAUUCAGGGAUUCAAAUAUAUCAUCAAACAGGUUCCUUAUUGCCAGUGCCUGUUGAAGACUAUACAUUUUUGCAAAUAUAUUUUAUGGACAAUUCAGCAAGAGAAGUCGAUCAGCGUUGCGCACACAACAACUCAGUAAAAAGAUCCAUUGUGAUGAACAACUUCAAACAUUUUUCCAUCAAAUCAACACAAUGAAUUAGUUGCAUUAAUCACAAAUGCAUUAGACCGCAUGCCAUCAGAUAAUCACAAAAUUGUCAUCAGAGCCGAUAAGGCGCCUGCAGGAUAAAAUGCUGGACAUUUUAAUGUGCCAACAAUUAAUAAAGAGCGCGCGUGGUAUUUAACUCAGUGUUUACUUAAAAAUGCCAAGUUCUUCAAUAGCGAUUUGUAAAAAUAGUAUUGAAAUUAUUGAAUCCUAUGGAAUAAACACUAUUAUGAAAA